Molecule: unclassified non-coding RNA, 371 nt
Filed under: soil metagenome
Description: partial contains 5.8S ribosomal RNA, internal transcribed spacer 2, and large subunit ribosomal RNA
Rfam family: 5.8S ribosomal RNA (bases 1-120)
Source: RNAcentral
GAUGAAGAACGUAGCGAAAUGCGAUAAGUAAUGUGAAUUGCAGAAUUCAGUGAAUCAUCGAAUCUUUGAACGCACAUUGCGCCCCCCGGCAUUCCGGGGGGCAUGCCUGUUCGAGCGUCUCCAGGACGAAUCCUCGCGCGAGUGAACGCGCGGUCGUGGCGGAGGUGGCGUGCCCGAGCAGGGCGGCCACGGCGCUGGAAUCCAUGGGCGGACGCCUGCCGCGUGGCCGAGCGUGAUAUGACGCAUUGGCGCUCGUGCGCGGCGAGGCUGCCAGCCCUGGCCCGUCUGUCGGGCGGGGUAGAUCACCACGUGGGAACUCCUCGAAUCAGGUAGGGAUACCCGCUGAACUUAAGCAUAUCAAUAGCGGAGGA